Molecule: non-coding RNA, 74 nt
Organism: Myotis davidii
Lineage: Eukaryota; Metazoa; Chordata; Mammalia; Chiroptera; Vespertilionidae
Source: Rfam
GCCGGUGUGGCUAAGUGGUUUGAGCAUCAGCCUGAGCACUGAAGAGUCACAGGUUCAAGUCCUGGUCAAGGGCA